Molecule: long non-coding RNA, 2143 nt
Filed under: Homo sapiens (human)
Lineage: Eukaryota; Metazoa; Chordata; Mammalia; Primates; Hominidae
Description: long non-coding RNA NONHSAT174991.1
Source: RNAcentral
ACAAGUAGCUGGGAUUACAGGCAAUGAUAGUAGGAAAUGCUAAAGAUACAGCUCAUACAAAAGCAGAAUGGAAUAUUCUGGAAGAAGUAAAGCAUCCCUUCAUCGUGGAUUUAAUUUAUGCUUUUCAGACUGGUGGAAAACUCUACCUCAUCCUUGAGUAUCUCAGUGGAGAACUAUUUAUGCAGUUAGAAAGAGAGGGAAUAUUUAUGGAAGACACUGCGUGGCCUUUUCUAACACGGAAGCUGCAUUUAAGAGCCUUAGGGAUGAAGUGCCCUUUUGUGGAGGAGGCUCACUGAGCAGUGUUGGAGGCUGUGUUUGUGGUCGUGCUGGCUGUGAAACUGCCUCAGUCCUUCCUCUAGGACACACCCUCUCCAUCCUGGAAUAAUCUGCAGGAUUGCAACAUUGUUAAGCAGCCAGUAUUGCGGUGCCUUGUGCUUUUCACAUCCAGACAGGGUUGAUUCAGCCCUUUAUUCUUUUGAGCUUUUACUUGGCAGAAAUCUCCAUGGCUUUGGGGCAUUUACAUCAAAAGGGGAUCAUCUACAGAGACUUGAAGCUGGAGAAUAUCAUGCUUAAUCACCAAGGUCAUGUGAAACUAACAGACUUUGGACUAUGCAAAGAAUCAUUCAUGACGGAACAGUCACACACACAUUUUGUGGAACAAUAGAAUACAUGUGAGCUGCAUGUUAAACAUAAUUGGUUUGGAGCCUCCAUUUACUGGGGAGAAUAGAAAGAAAACAAUUGACAACAUCCUCAAAUGUAAACUAAUUUGCCUCCCUACCUCACACAAGAAGCCAGAGAUCUGCUUAAAAAGCUACUGAAAAGAAAUGCUGCUUCUCAUCUGGGAGCUGGUCCUGGGGAUGCUGGAGAUGUUCAAGCUCAUCCAUUCUUUAGACACAUUAACUGGGAAGAACUUCUGGCUCGAAAGGUGGAGCCCCCAUUUAAACCUCUGUUGCAAUCUGAAGAGGAUGUAAGUCAGUUUGAUUCCAAGUUUACACGUCAGACACCUGUCGACAGCCCAGAUGACUCAACUCUCAGUGAAAGUGCCCAUCAGGUCUUUCUGGGUUUUACUUAUGUGGCUCCAUCUGUACUUGAAGUGUGAAAGAAAAGUUUUCCUUUGAACCAAAAAUCCGAUCACCUCGAAGAUUUAUUGGCAGCCCACGAACACCUGUCAGCCCAAUUUUCUCCUGGGGAUUUCUGGGGAAGAGGCGCUUCGGCCAGCACAGCAAAUCCUCAGACACCUGUGGAAUACCCAAUGGAAACAAGUGGCACAGAGCAGAUGGAUGUGACAACGAGUGGGGAAGCAUUGGCACCACUUCCAAUACGACAGCCGAACUCUGGGCCAUACAAAAAACAAGCUUUUCCCAUGAUCUCCAAACGGCCAGAGCACCUGCGUAUGAAUCUAUGCCACAGCAAUGCUUUUAAUGAAUUUAAGGCAAAAAAGGUGGAGAGGCCGAUGUGUGAGCAUCCUACAGGGUGAAACAAGACUCAAAGUGACAAUUUCAGAGAGUCAGUGUCAUUACAUAGAACACUUUGGACAGAGGAAAAAUAAACAUGGAUUUUAAAAAAAUCAAUCAAUCGUGCAAAAAAACUUAAAGCAAAAUAGUACUGCUGAACACUCAGGCACAUCAAUUAAUUGUUUCCUCGUGACAUCUUCUCAACCUUAUCAAGGAUUUUCAUGUUGAUGACUCGAAACUGACAGUAUUAAGGGUAGGAUGUUGCUUCUGAAUCACUGUUGAGUUCUAACUGUGUCGAAGAAGGGUUAUCCUUUCAUUAGGCAAAGUACAAAAUUGCCUAUAAUACUUGCAACUAAGGACAAAUUAGCAUGCAAGCUUGGUCAAACUUUUUCCAGCAACAUGGAAUCAAAGACAAAAGAAACUUACCAAUUGAUGUUUUACGUGAACAUAACCUGAAUCUUUUUUUAUAUAAAUAUAUAUUUUUCAAGUAGAUUUUUGAUUCAGCUCAUUAUGAAAAACAUCCCAAACUUUAAAAUGCGAAAUUAUUAGUUGGUGUGAAGAAAGCCAAACAACUUCCGUUUCUUCUCUUGGUGAAAUAAUAAAAUGCAAAUGAAUCAUUGUUAACCACAUCUGUGGCUCGUUCGAGGGACUGGGGUGGACCUGGGGUUUAUUUUCAGUAACCCAGCUGC